This 441-nucleotide ribosomal RNA is filed under the name uncultured bacterium. Its description in RNAcentral is "partial 16S ribosomal RNA". It matches the Rfam family "Bacterial small subunit ribosomal RNA", at positions 338 to 795 of the family's 1533-position model. The record is from RNAcentral.
CCUACGGGAGGCAGCAGUGGGGAAUAUUGCACAAUGGGGGAAACCCUGAUGCAGCGACGCCGCGUGAGUGAAGAAGGUUUUCGGCUUGUAAAGCUCUGUCAGCAGGGAAGAGAAAGGACGGUACCUGCCGAGGAAGCCACGGCUACCUACGUGCCAGCAGCCGCGGUAAUACGUAGGUGGCAAGCGUUCUUCGGAAUAACUGGGCGUAAAGGAUGCGUAGGCGGAUAAACAAGUUAGAUGUGAAAGACAGAGGCCUAACCUGGAGAAAGCCGAUAAAACUGGCUAACUGGAGUGCAGGAGAGGUAAGUGGAAUUCCUAGUGUAGCGGUGAAAUGCGUAGAGAUUAGGAGGAACACCAGUGGCGAAGGCGACUUACUGGACUGUAACUGACGUUGAGGCAUGAGAGCAUGGGGAGCAAACAGGAUUAGAUACCCCAGUAGUC